This 458-nucleotide ribosomal RNA is filed under the name uncultured bacterium. Its description in RNAcentral is "partial 16S ribosomal RNA". It matches the Rfam family "Bacterial small subunit ribosomal RNA", at positions 28 to 507 of the family's 1533-position model. The record is from RNAcentral.
GAUAAACGCUGGCGGCGUGCAUGAGACAUGCAAGUCGAACGAAGGAUCGGGCUUGCUCGAUCCUUAGUGGCGGACGGCCGAGUAACGCGUAGGUGACCUACCCCGACGUGGGGAAUAACUGCCCGAAAGGGUGGCUAAUACCGCAUGUGGUCGCACGUUCAUUCGUGCGAGUAAAGCCGCAAGGCGCUUCGGGAGGGGCCUGCGUCCGAUUAGCUCGUUGGUGGGGUAAUGGCUUACCAAGGCGACGAUCGGUAGGUGGUCUGAGAGGACGAUCACCCAGACUGGGACUGAGACACGGCCCAGACUCCUACGGGAGGCAGCAGUCGGGAAUUUUGCUCAAUGGGGGAAACCCUGGAGCAGCAACGCCGCGUGAGGGAUGAAGGCCUUCGGGUUGUAAACCUCUUUUGUCAGGGACGAUGAUGACGGUACCUGGCGAAUAAGCCACGGCUAACUACGUG